Long non-coding RNA from Conger conger (European conger), 949 nucleotides. RefSeq lists it as uncharacterized. The transcript is spliced from 3 exons. The record is from RefSeq and is a predicted model, not a curated record. NCBI's taxonomy places the organism in Eukaryota, Metazoa, Chordata, Actinopteri, Anguilliformes, Congridae.
UGCUAUGAGCCUUCAUUAUGCUAUGAGCAUUCAUUAUGCUAUGAGCCUUCACUGUGCUAUGAGCCUUCACUAUGCUAUGAGCCUUCACUGUGCUAUGAGCCUUCACUAUGCUAUGAGCCUUCACUGUGCUAUGAGCCUUCAUUAUGCUAUGAGCCUUCACUGUGCUAUGAGCCUUCAUUAUGCUAUGAGCCUUCACUGUGCUACAAGCCUUUGCUUUCCUGCACUUCACUGUGCUUCAUCAGUGCACUUGCCAAGCUAACCCUGCUACAGCAGCACACGGGAAUGAAUGAUAAACAGGGUACAACUGGCCCCCAAACUGGGAGAAAAUGCUUCUUAACAUUAAUAUGACCCACUGGCACCUGCACAACAGCUUUUCUUGUUGACAGAGAAUGCUGCAUGUGAAGGGCCCAUUGGUCUGCCUGUCUCACUGUCAUUCAGUGUGGUUUUAUUCCUCCGACAGACCGCCAUCCCUCACCCCAGACACACACAGCCCAGAGACGGAGCCUGAGGAACCGGAUGAGCGAGAGUACAUGGAAGAAAUGGAACUGGUGAGGGCUGCCAACUUAGAAACGGGUGAAGUGGAUUCUGUAGAGUCUGUGGACGAAUGGCCAGAAAUAGAACAAGCCCUUCAAAUAAGCUGUAUGGAUGAAACAGCUCCCUCCAGCUAGAGAGAAAGAGAGGGAGGGAGAGAGAGAAAGAGAGAGAUCUAGAGUGGGAGAGUGAGCGAGAGAUACAGAGAGAGCGAGAAACAAAAGCAGAGGGAAAUCGAGACAGAGGAUUGAUCCCAGAGCUAAAUUGCAACAAAUAUAUAUUUAUGUAAAAUCCAAUAAUUGUAAGGUAUGAAUAAAUUCUGAAAAAUGUUGUAUCUGUAUUUCAGUGACAAUGCUUUCAUUUCUGUAGACCAAUAAAAGUGUUUUAAUAACGAGGUGCUUAAAACACCUUGUCAGCA